ACGACGUCACGACGAAUACAUUUGCUCGAAGCUCAUCACAGUCACAGAUGGGUGAAAGUUGUCAAAAUUGUGAAAAUUGAUCAGGUCCAAAGGAAUUUGGUGUUUCGGUCUGAUGUAUUUGGAUGGAGCUCCAGGGAUUGCAACUGUUGAUUUGUUUCAAAUAGCUUGGCUGAUAAGAUUUUGGUUCAACUUCUUUCUAAUUCAGUUUUUAACAGAGCCAUGGAAAACCUUCUGUUGCCAAAUUUGAUAGAUUUUUGUAUUCUCUUUCCUAGUGUUGGUCAAUGACUAACUAGCAACCGAGUCAUUUUAACCUGAGAUAGCACUUCAGUUUCGUUUUAUUGUUACAUAAUUUUCUUUAUUCAGAUUACUUUUUCACAGUUAAGUUAUGCUGAAUCUCCAAGAUAUUGAAGAGCCCGUAAAAUCAAAUUCUUUACUGCCACUUUUUUUAGUGAAAAAUGAGAGAAUGCACCCACUAAGAAGGUUGUAGUGACCACUACUUGAGUUCUAAUUUAGGCUGAUCUAAGAUUGAUUGAUAUGAGGAUUUCUUUUGGUUGCAACCGUCUGGUUUGACAUUAUUGUCAUCUAAUAAUUCUUCCAUCAGGCUGGUGAAGUCUUAGCUUCUUCAUUGCGUAGAGGUUGAGUGAGAACGGGAGGUGUUUCAUCAUUAUCAAGUAGAUACAAUAGCCACAAGCCAACCUGCAGAAGGAAAGGGGAGUUUGCAUGUCCAUCCUGCUCGAAGGUCACCGAGUUCAUUACGUAAAACGUGUCAUGCAGUGGUGUAGAGGUUGGGUGAGAACGGGGCGUGUUUCAUCAUUAUCAAGCAAGUACAAUAGAUAGCCGUAAGACUUAAGAGGUUAGGAUGCAAAACAAAAAUCGUAUAAAAGGAUAGAGAAAAGGAGGUAGAAAUCAGUCGCUUGAGUAUCUCCGACACGGCAACAACUGCAGUGUACUAUCUGUCACUAACUGCAUCCUCAUCCUUAUCGUGUAACCAAAUCGCAAUCAUGGCAGGUACAAUUGCCGCACGGCUCGAGUUGAAAGGUGAAUCCCGGGUGAAUCAGGAGAAGUCAAAACUUAUUAAACGAGAAAAAUGUCGAUAGAAGGCAGUCAAAUGAGCAUCUCCAACAUGGCAAAUUGGCAACUUCUAGUUCGCAUUAACCAUAGCGUCGUGCUGCUGCUGGGUGUUGUAUCGCCGAUGGCUGGGUGUACCAGGAGGUUGCUGAUGUCUCCUGGGUAUGGUGGAUACUAAGCAUCAGCAGCGAAAGAAUCCUUCACCACUUCGCUGCCUUUCUACACAAAAAUCUCAACAUACGGAACACCUACUUACUAAACAGAGGCCACCAAAUUACUACACCACCUAGGCUCCAGAGUAUUGCAAGAAGUAUUACUCUGCCCCGAACUACUGCACCGAUGCCCCCGAAGUAUUAGUCUGCCUUGAUUUACAUCACCAAGGUGCCUGAACACCACACUGAUUCUCCCAAGUACAUCACUAAAGCUUCAGACUACUACACCGAGGCUGCAGCCUUUUACACCACCAAAUAGGUCGAAUACUACACCGAAGCGCGCCUAAGUGCUACACUGCAACCUGCGCUACCCCAGCUUACACCACCAAGGCGCUGGAGUGUUACAUUAUCAAGACACGUUCGCAAUCAUUGGACGGAUACCAAACUGCCGCCUUACUACCCAAAAGCAACUUACGCAGCGACCAGUUACUGCGCCGAGGCCUUUAAGUACUACACCACCAAGGCACUGGAGUAUUGUGCCACAACUUACGCUGCUCCCAGCUACUACACCGACGCCCCGAAGUAUCACUCUGCCCCGACCCAACCUACACCACAUAGGCCGAGUACUACACGACUACGUAUACUGCCCCAUCCUAUUAAACCACCAAGGCCGUGUACUACACGACUACGUAUGCUGCCUAUUACACCGAGGCUCCCAAGUACUACUCGGUCCUCAGCUACUCACUACACUGAUGUCUAAAGUAGUACUACUCUGUUCCCAGCUACUACAACGAGGCUCCAGCUGAUUACUAAACCGAAACGGUUGAAAACUACACCAAAGCGCCCAAGAACUACUCUGCCCCGAUCUACACAACCACAACUUAGGCGGUCAAGUAUUACGCAGCCCUAACUUACUACACCUUAGAAGCUGCCUUUUCGUACUACGAUGAACAAAAAUACUACACUGAUGCUCCAGUUUGCUACACCGCUACCUAUGCUACACCUACCUACAACACCGAAGCUCCCAAGUACUACACCGAAGAAGCCGCAUAUUACACAAGUCAACCACGCCCGCCGCCCCAGUUUACUUCAUCGAGAAACUCAAGUAUUACUCUGCUCCAAGCUACUAUCAAACUAAGGCUCACAAGUACUACACCAGCAAGGCUCCUGAGUAUUACACCACUACUUACGCUGCUACGACCUAUACACCGAUGUUCCAUAGUAAUCCUAUGCCCCGAGUUCCUAAACUGCUAGAGCACCAACAUAUUACACCACAACCUUUCUUCUUCGUUUACGAUUCCGAUAGUUGCAGUCAUGAGGUUUGAUAUUGCAUCAUAUGUUGGUGAAAGAUUUACGAGCAUCAAAUUUGAUUCUGCCUGUUACUGGGUGUUAUUAUAUUCUACUUAUUGAGUUUUAAAAGUUGCAUUCUGUAUUUUGUUCAAUUGGUAUUUUGUCUAUAUCGGUCCGAUGCUAAAAUUUAAGAAGGAAGGAGGAGAAAGUUGGGGAGGGGAAGAAAAAAUAAUUUUCACAUUUCAAUUAAGCCGAUUAACAAAUAACAUUAAUUAAAAAUUCAUUUACACAGUAUAUAUUAUUCAAUGUCUAUUUUUACUCUAUAAAAAAGAAAUUCAUUAAUGACAUUUGUAAAAUAAUAAAUAUGACAAAUAAAAUUAUUCUGUCAUUAUACACCUUAAUACCUCAAAUCUAUCAAUCUUACAUUUCCCUAAAUUUAAACUUAAUCAAAAUCAACUCACCACAAUCUUUCAAUGUUGUCAUGCAAUUUUCUACAAAAUAAAUAACAGCAAAAAAUUA
Molecule: long non-coding RNA, 3029 nt
Organism: Daphnia pulex (common water flea)
Lineage: Eukaryota; Metazoa; Arthropoda; Branchiopoda; Diplostraca; Daphniidae
Exons: 8
Source: RefSeq, a predicted model, not a curated record